RNAcentral lists this ribosomal RNA (581 nucleotides) under uncultured bacterium. Its description in RNAcentral is "bacterial SSU rRNA". It matches the Rfam family "Bacterial small subunit ribosomal RNA", at positions 8 to 612 of the family's 1533-position model. The record is from RNAcentral.
AGAGUUUGAUCAUGGCUCAGGAUGAACGCUGGCGGCGUGUCUAAGGCAUGCAAGUCGAAAGAUUCACUUCGGUGAAUCUUGGCAAACGGGAGAGUAACACAUUGGUAACCUACCCUGAAGACGAGGAUAACUUCGAGAAAUCGGAGAUAAUACUCGAUAAAGGCGGGGGGAUAUAAAUCAUUCCCGCCUAAAGCUCCGGCGCUUCGGGAGGGGCCUAUGGCCUAUCAGUUUGUUGGUGAGGGUAAAAGCCCACCAAGACUAUGACGGGUAGCGGGUGUGAGAGCAUGACCCGCCUCACUGGGACUGAGACACUGCCCAGACUCCUACGGGAGGCUGCAGUCGAGAAUCUUCCUCAAUGGCCGAAAGGCUGAAGGAGCGACGCCGCGUGCAGGAAGACGCCCCUCGGGGUGUAAACUGCUUUUAUGUGGGACGAAACAAUGACGGUACCACAAGAAUAAGGGGCUGCUAACUUCGUGCCAGCAGCAGCGGUAAUACGAAGGCCCCAAGCGUUAUCCGGAUUUAUUGGGUGUAAAGGGUCCGCAGGCGGUUUAACGCAUCUCCUGUUAAAUCUCAAGGCUCAA